Molecule: long non-coding RNA, 2933 nt
Filed under: Homo sapiens (human)
Lineage: Eukaryota; Metazoa; Chordata; Mammalia; Primates; Hominidae
Description: HSALNT0269001
Source: RNAcentral
CUUACAGUUAUUUCCAUUCUCCUUCUCCUCCAAGUCCAUGGUAGAGAAUAACGUCCUUGUCUCCUUAGCAGUUAGUGAUGAAAACAAGCAAGCCCCCCACCUGCAACUCACGAGUAAAAGCCUCUCACAAAAUUCUGGAAACCGUAAAAAGGAAAAACCAUUUCUCUGUGGACCAGGAAUGCUCAUAAUUUGCAGAGGACGAUGCUGAUACUCCUGCUCUGAGGACCACAUUCUGAGUAGCGAGGAGAUGGAACACACCCAGGAGUAAGGGACCAGAGAAGGCCGAUUGGUGGCUAACUGAGCAGAAACAGAGACGGGAAACAAGAACGGAAGGUGAUAAGGUCAGACAAAUGGACCCAGAGGUACCUACUGGAUAUCAAAGUGACCUCGCUGGUAAUUAGGAUGCAAGACCUCUGGCCAGCCCUGGGUAGCACUGAUUCACAAUAGGGCUGUUUAUCUCGAAAUAUUGUACAUUGAAGUAUAAAUCUGUAUGAGUACCUCUCUGAACAGUCAUGGGCCAUCGUGUAGUGGUCAAGAACACUGGCUUUGAAACCAGAUAUCGUGGAUCAAAUCCCAGCUGUAUCACUGACUAGCAUAAGACCCCGUUUCUCAAUUCUCUGUGCUUCCCUUUUCUCAUCUGUAAUGUGGUGGCAAUUGUACCUACCUCAUAACUUUGUUUUGUAAAGUGCAGGGACCAUUGCCAGGCACAGAAAAGAAUGACCCUAUUGGGAAGGCAGAUGGGGACUGACUCAAAGAAGUUGAACCAUUCACUCUUCAGCCAAAAGGUACAGCUUCCAAAGGCAGCUGUGGGGUUGUUCGAUUUUCCCAGUGUAAAGAAAACUGCCCUUAAAACUGACUCUGGGGAGAUUUUAAUUUUCCUCUUAUAUAAAAGCAAUAUAUGGUCAUUCAGCCAUCUGUUUAUUUAAUUAACCAUGAAACAAACAUUUCUUGAGAUCCUACUAUGCUCCUACCCUAAUUUUCCACAUACUCCUGUGUGCUCUUUGAUAUUCAAAAAAAAUCAUCUCAGAAAUGUGUUUGGUUAAUACACAAUCUGAUAGAAACUGAAUAAGUCUGCUAGUUCUGAACUAUUAGGAUUAUAUAGCAUAAAAUAAGGUCCUGGCUUUUUAUUAGUAAUGUAAUCAUGUUGGAUUAGAUGAAUGAACACUGUUGGUCCUGUUAUAUUUAAAACUUUGGGUUUACUUAUCUGGCCACUGUUACAUUGGAAAUAAAGGUAUUAAUAAUUUGUUAUGGGCAUUAAAAGUGAGAUUCUCGGCUACAGUGUGAUAUUUGAAAUUGGAACCAAAAGAGGAUCCCAGGAUAUGAAUUGGGGCUCUUGAGAUAUGGCAGACUUGCACAGUGCACAACCUGAACAUUCAUUCAUGACACCCCUGCUUAGCUCAAUAACUUAAAACACAGCAAACAAAUAUUAACUCAUCUGAGGACUUUUCACAGUAAAAUUCAGGCCAAGCUGGAUCAGUAUAUUUUUUCCCUGAGUUACAUAAAAGGCACUAAUAAAGAAAGCUGUUUGAGCAAAACUUAUCAAAUAUGAUAUUCACUUUUUUAUUUUAUUGGUAUUACUUACAAGUAUUUCUGUUUAAAUGGCCAGAUUUAAUUAAGUUAUAAAUAUGACUGUUUUAUUAUAGCUAAGUAACUCUUACAGAGACAACGUAAUAAAGAAAAUGUCCAACUCUACAAAAUAAAAUUUUUCUAGGGAGGAAAAAUAAUUCUAGUUUCAGCUUUCAGUUGGGUGGAAAAUAAAACUAAUAAAAAUAAAAAAAUAUUAAUAGCAAUUUGGGGAAAAUCGUCAGCUUUUCAGGUGUGACACUCCUAAAAUAUGUUCUAGGUCUCCAAUUUACAGUGCAAUAAAGUUGUUUCACUCUACAUACAAAGCCAUAUUGGUGGUUAAUUUGCUGUGUUUUUUGUAAUCACUGCAGCAGUAAAGCUGUCAUUUUUCCUCUCAUGACAUGUGUCUCAGUUUGUCAUAACUCAGCAUAUCAGCAUUUUAUUUUGUUUUGUUUUGUUUCCAAUCUAGUUGGCCAAGAAAAAGAAACCAACUGACCUCCUUCCUAAGGCUCACAGGCUGGGCACACAUAAAAUCCGACCAGAGGAUCUUGCAUCCAGCUGGUUCUAACCACUGAACAGCAGAGUCAUGUUUUCCACUCUGAGUUACUAGUGCCAUGUUUUUUGUUAUUGCUGUUGUUGUUUUGCUUUGCUUCCUUUAGGAGUGUGUGUUUAGACAUGGAGGAUUGUGCAGAUAGGAUUUUGAUGAUCCAAUCAAAAUGGGGAAUUGUUCAAAGAUCAAUCUUUUCUCAUUCUGCCAUGUGAUGCAAUGUGGUGGGUGGAAUAGAGGGAUGUUCUCAAACUUCGACGUGUGUAACCAUCCUCCAGGGUUCCAGUUAGGAAUCCAGAUUCCUGGGUUCCAUCCAAAAGACUGCAGCAUCCAGCCUGAGGCAAUGGGUCCUGAAUGACUGGCUUUGUGGUUAGAGUAGGUUCUCAGUAUUUACAUACGAGGAUGAGGAGAAAAUGGUAGGUGAGAAGGGGAGGGUAGACCCAUGGACGAGAGCCUUUUGUCCACUCUAAAAGACUAAGAGAAUCAACAAUGACAAUGAUAGUGAUUAUGAUAUAGUUUACAUCAUCCCCGAAACACAAGAUGCCACGAAGCCAUAUUAGAAACAAAUCAAACAAACAAACAAAAUCCUCAGAGUUCCCAAUGUAGGUCUUUUUUUGGGGGGAAUUUUGGGUAAUGAAUUUCUAGUCCCUUCACUGCAUUAAUGGAAAUAAUUGAGUAUCUUUGGUGGUUGGUCCAAGGGUCUGCCAUUUGCCAUUGAAAUAACAUGGAAAUUUGCCUUCAACAAGAUAUCUGAAAAGUCUGAGUUUGGGCAGAAGCUUUUUGACUGGGAAAAUCUUUCUCCUCUGAAUCUUCUAAACUUUGG